GAAACACUGAAGAUUUUAUCUAAAGGGGGAAUUACACCAUAAAGGACUGGUUGAGAAAUCAAAAACACCUCAGUAAAAUUCUUGACCACCUAGGAUGAUACGUGAGCAGAAUCACACUGAACUCCACAGGACUGAAGGAGUGAACCCCAUCUGCAGCAGGGAGGAACAUGACCUCAGCUUCUAGAACAUGUAUCUUUCUCUUCCUCUGCAAAGGAGGAAUGUAAACAAGCUCUCUAUGUGAAAUUGGAAAGGAGUGCUGGGGUGACCUCUACCAACCCACGCUACUGGGCAGCCAUGGAGCAGCUUUGAAAUGGCUCUUGUCUGAGCUCUGAUGAGAGCAGCUGGAGCCUCUGCACAUGCUGAUGUGGAGUGUCACUGGUGUAGCAAUACCGAGGUAGGUGUUCUCAGUUAAGAGAUUUUUAUUCUGUACUUCAUCUGGUAAAGGUGGAGCAUGUCAAUCUAAGGGCUUGUCCUCAGGGACAAUGUCUCAGG
Non-coding RNA from Phalacrocorax carbo (great cormorant), 492 nucleotides. Lineage: Eukaryota; Metazoa; Chordata; Aves; Suliformes; Phalacrocoracidae. The record is from RefSeq and is a predicted model, not a curated record.